RNAcentral lists this long non-coding RNA (743 nucleotides) under Sus scrofa (pig). RNAcentral's name for it is "lncRNA (ENSSSCG00015027113.1)". The record is from RNAcentral. Lineage: Eukaryota; Metazoa; Chordata; Mammalia; Artiodactyla; Suidae.
AGAACCUGGGCCGAGAGCUGCGGAACACGCUCAAGGAUGUGCCGGCCAGCUUUGCCCCCGCCUGCCUCUCCCACGAGAUCAUCAUCCGAAGCCACUGGACGGACGUCCAGGUCAAGGGGACCUCGCUGCCCCGGGCACUGCACUGCUGGGACAGGAGCCUCCACGACAGCCACAAGGCCAGCAAGGCCCCCCUGAAGGGCUGCCCCGUCCACCUGGUGGACAGCUGCCCCUGGCCCCACUGCAACCCCUCCUGCCCCACCAUCCGGGACCAGCUCACGGGGCAGGAGAUGAACGUGGCCCAGUUCCUCAUGCACAUGGGCUUCGACGUGCAGACGGUGGCCCAGCAGCAGGGCCUGGAGCCCAGUAAACUGCUGGGGAUGCUGAGCAGCGGGAGCUAGGGCCUCCCCAGGCCCCUCCCCUCCAGGCCCUCCUGCCCUCCCAGGACCACAGGCUCUGGCUGUCCCCCCCACCCCCGGGUCUGGAUGGCCUCCCGGCAGCCCUCACCGCCUCUCUGCCCCGGCCUCCCAGAGGCCCAGCCGGAGACCCAGCUGUGGCCCUGGGACCCUCCCCCCGCCCCUCCUCCUCUGCCUCCAGCCCGUGGUGGGAGCCAGAAGCACUGGACUCCUCAGCCCCCGGCCCGGCUCCCGGCCUCCCCUGCCCUUUUGUAUUAUUUUAUAAAGUGACUUUUUUAUUACUUUAAUUUUUUAAAAAAGAAAAUUAAGCAAGAAAUAUAUGGUGAAUGA